Molecule: ribosomal RNA, 601 nt
Filed under: earthworm cast bacterium C20D1
Lineage: Bacteria
Description: bacterial SSU rRNA
Rfam family: Bacterial small subunit ribosomal RNA
Source: RNAcentral
UACAUGCAAGUCGAGCCGAAUCAAUAGGAGCUUGCUCCUGUUGGUUAGCGGCGGACGGGUGAGUAACACGUGGGCAACCUGCCUGUAAGACUGGGAUAACACCGGGAAACCGGUGCUAAUACCGGAUAAUCCUUUUCCUCACAUGAGGAAAAGCUGAAAGACGGUUUCGGCUGACACUUACAGAUGGGCCCGCGGCGCAUUAGCUAGUUGGUGAGGUAACGGCUCACCAAGGCGACGAUGCGUAGCCGACCUGAGAGGGUGAUCGGCCACACUGGGACUGAGACACGGCCCAGACUCCUACGGGAGGCAGCAGUAGGGAAUCUUCCACAAUGGACGAAAGUCUGAUGGAGCAACGCCGCGUGAGCGAUGAAGGCCUUCGGGUCGUAAAGCUCUGUUGUUAGGGAAGAACAAGUACCGGAGUAACUGCCGGUACCUUGACGGUACCUAACCAGAAAGCCACGGCUAACUACGUGCCAGCAGCCGCGGUAAUACGUAGGUGGCAAGCGUUGUCCGGAAUUAUUGGGCGUAAAGCGCGCGCAGGCGGUCCUUUAAGUCUGAUGUGAAAGCCCACGGCUCAACCGUGGAGGGUCAUUGGAAACUG